Molecule: long non-coding RNA, 459 nt
Organism: Drosophila biarmipes
Lineage: Eukaryota; Metazoa; Arthropoda; Insecta; Diptera; Drosophilidae
Exons: 2
Source: RefSeq, a predicted model, not a curated record
UUAAACAUUGCAAAUUUGUACGGUAGGGGUAUAAAUACAGAUCAUUUUCGUUGUUGAAUUCAGUUCAAAAAUUUGAAUCAGCAUGAAUCUCUUGAUUGUUUUUUUGGCCUUGCUGGCCCUUGCUUCUGCCAUGCGAAAUCAUAAAUACGUCACACCUUCUUGUUAUGGAUUAGGAAGAUCAACUUAUAAGAAAAGGUACGGCGGAAACGGGAUUCGGUACGAUUACAAACAGGCCUUACACCGCUACCGUUACCAAAAAAUGGUAAAUGGAACCGGAAGAGCAACUCCAAAGGAAAAGUACAGGAUUCGACACGAUUACAAAGAGGCCAUACACCACCAGCGUUACUAAAAAAUGCAAAAAAAUUAAGGACAAUCUGUCUUGAAGACUGCUUGGAAUAUACAAAUUUGUAGAUAAUUUUAAGGAGAACUUCGAUAAUAGAAUAAAUCCUUAAAUGCAUA